Molecule: ribosomal RNA, 397 nt
Filed under: uncultured bacterium
Lineage: Bacteria
Description: partial 16S ribosomal RNA
Rfam family: Bacterial small subunit ribosomal RNA
Source: RNAcentral
AUACGUAGGUGGCAAGCGUUGUCCGGAAUUACUGGGUGUAAAGGGCGUGUAGGCGGGAAUGUAAGUCAGAUGUGAAAUCCCAGGGCUUAACCCUGGAGCUGCAUCUGAAACUAUGUUUCUUGAGUGCCGGAGAGGAAAGCGGAAUUCCUAGUGUAGCGGUGAAAUGCGUAGAUAUUAGGAGGAACACCAGUGGCGAAGGCGGCUUUCUGGACGGUAACUGACGCUGAGGCGCGAAAGCGUGGAGAGCAAACAGGAUUAGAUACCCUGGUAGUCCACGCUGUAAACGAUGGAUACUAGGUGUAGGAGGUAUCGACCCCUUCUGUGCCGGAGUUAACACAAUAAGUAUCCCACCUGGGGAGUACGGCCGCAAGGUUGAAACUUAAAGGAAUUGACGGGG